GGCCGGUGAUGUAAGUAAAUAUUUGCUACUCUUGAUGGGAAUUUAUCAAAUUUCCAUCUGAUGAUUCUCUAUCCACCAAGAUCUCUGAGGCC
Non-coding RNA from Solanum tuberosum (potato), 92 nucleotides. NCBI's taxonomy places the organism in Eukaryota, Viridiplantae, Streptophyta, Magnoliopsida, Solanales, Solanaceae. The record is from Rfam.